CCGAGUUUACAACUCCAAACCCAAUGUGAACGUUACCAAACUGUUGCCUCGGCGGGAUCUCUGCCCCGGGUGCGUCGCAGCCCCGGACCAAGGCGCCCGCCGGAGGACCGACCAAAACUCUUAUUGUAUACCCCCUCGCGGGUUUUUUUAUAAUCUGAGCCUUCUCGGCGCCUCUCGUAGGCGUUUCGAAAAUGAAUCA
RNAcentral lists this unclassified non-coding RNA (199 nucleotides) under soil metagenome. RNAcentral's name for it is "partial internal transcribed spacer 1". The record is from RNAcentral.